AGGGAAAUAGCUCAAUGGUAGAGUGCAUGCUUGGCACUCACAAGGUCCUGGGUUCGAUCCCCAGUACCUCUG
RNAcentral lists this transfer RNA (72 nucleotides) under Camelus ferus (Wild Bactrian camel). It matches the Rfam family "tRNA". From Rfam's summary of the family: Transfer RNA (tRNA) molecules are approximately 80 nucleotides in length. Their secondary structure includes four short double-helical elements and three loops (D, anti-codon, and T loops). Lineage: Eukaryota; Metazoa; Chordata; Mammalia; Artiodactyla; Camelidae. The record is from Rfam by way of RNAcentral.